AUGAUAAUCAUGGUUCUUCUGUCCUGGUCUGAUGAUUUUAUACAUGCCAACAAGCAUCCAUGCGAUAUGUUCUUUACUUCUGCACCUAACAGCAUGUUUUCCCACAAAAAAGUACACUGCCGCGGCAAUCAUGCGUUUUAUCAUUUUAAUCAUUUGUGUGGGGUAGUAUUAAUGUUCUUGCCGGCAUUGGUUAACAGAAAUCAAUAUAAGAACUUUAUCCUACAUGCCGUAUUUCUCUUUGUCUCUUUUUCCUUAUUUCUGUUUCCUGGGUUUCUUCUAGCGUAUUUUGAUGUUUAUUUUCAGUCAAAAGGAUGA
RNAcentral lists this ribosomal RNA (315 nucleotides) under Triticum aestivum (bread wheat). RNAcentral's name for it is "partial small subunit ribosomal RNA". Lineage: Eukaryota; Viridiplantae; Streptophyta; Magnoliopsida; Poales; Poaceae. The record is from RNAcentral.